GGGUGCGCAGGUAUAGGUGGGGGAUAAGACACACUUAAGGGGAUAAGACAUUCAAAAACGGGGCUAAGAAACACAAAAAGGGGUAAGAAAUUCAAGAUGGGUUUAAGUGACACACAGACAAAGUUGCAUUUUGCGGCCCCCUCCCCCCACCUCCAAACAAACAAUGCAUAUUCACCUUUGUGUCUCUUAACCCCCUCUUUAAUUUCUUAUCGUUUUUUGUGUUUCUUACCUCUCUUUUGAAUGUCUUUCGCCAUUUAAUGUAUCUUAUCCCCAUUUGUGUCUUACAUCCC
Molecule: non-coding RNA, 290 nt
Organism: Pelobates cultripes (western spadefoot toad)
Lineage: Eukaryota; Metazoa; Chordata; Amphibia; Anura; Pelobatidae
Source: the annotation of a GenBank genome assembly